This 303-nucleotide long non-coding RNA is filed under the name Carica papaya (papaya). RNAcentral's name for it is "long non-coding RNA (CPAP_LNC015115)". The record is from RNAcentral. Lineage: Eukaryota; Viridiplantae; Streptophyta; Magnoliopsida; Brassicales; Caricaceae.
UAAAGAAAAUUAAAUAAAUCACGAAAUGCUCAAAUUUUUGUGUCAUGCUUCGCGAGUCGUUCUGACUUCCAUCUCUGAGGGAAAAUAUAGAUUUCUGACUACCCAUGUGGAAUGACCAUAUUAGAUACAGAUAAUGGCAAUUUGCUCAAGCACAUUUUCAGCUUACCAAACUAUAGUACGAUCUAUGACCAUAGUCGUACCAACCACUGUUGUCCUAUCAGAUAUUCUAUAGUCACGGUGGUACUUAGAAAAAGGUGACCCCUAACAGAUAUUUGUGUCACCGCUCUCAUCAGAGGGUAUGUC